UCUCUCUGAGCUCCAGGUAGAUUCUGAGUUUGAAGUGUGCUCCAUAAAAGCAGUCUGAGUAAUUAUUACAGAGAAUGCCGUCAGACAACCUUCCAAACUAGUUGAAUAAAGAAUGUGUCAAAGAUUACAGGUAUAAAGGAAUUCCCAGCAAGGAAUUUACUAGGCAUUUCUACUUCUUAAGGAGCACGUUCCUACUCUUAAGGAGCACAGGACUUUCCGUUUCUGCUUUUCUUUUUGUUUAGUGUUUUGGUUUUGGUUUGGUUUUAACUUACCAGAACAUGUCACGCCAGCAUCUUCAUUGUGAUUGCAAUAAUGCUUUCCCCAUUCAUGGUGUUUACAUUGCCAGAUAGCAGGUUCAUGUCCCUGGCAAGAAACGCUGUCAAGCCAGAUGUGUCCAAAUCCCUUACUGGCGUUAACUCGACCAAUGGCUGUGACGGCAGUUGGACAUCCCAGUUGCUUGCAUGCCACAGCAGCAUCGUAACUGUCCCAGCCGUCAUCACAUAUUGUCCCCCAUUCUCCUUGGAAUCUCACUUCUAAUCUUCCUGAACAUUCAGUGACUCCAUCUACCAGUCUCAGGCUCAGAUCUGCUCCCUCUGUAACAGAGACACACAACAGGUCUGCGAUAAGGAAGCAAGAACAUGAGACUAUAAAUAGCUAUACCUGAGAUGAGUUAAGGAAAAGGGGAGAGAUAUAAGUGGAGACAGAGAAAACUGUGAUGUACUGUACUACCACUGGAAAUCAUUCAAGAUGGAAGGAGGAGUGGAUCAGGCAAGAAGAUGGGACAUCUCAGUAUAGACAGCAUAUACUACAGGAAGUGUUUCUAACAGGAGAUACAGGGACUGAAUUUCAUCUAGAGACCUGCUAUUUGACCACCACAGAGUUCUUGUUAGAACUGUUUACUUUUUCUGGUUAAAAUAUAUUUGCAUGUGUUUAGGUGACUCCCUCAUCCUUCAGUUUGCCUCCAUACUUAGCAAUCCCUUUUGCCUCUGACUGCAUUCUCCAUUGAUACUACCUAGCCUGUGUUGUACACCUGAACCUGUUGUGACCACUUCCUUAGUUUAAAAGCAGAGCAAAGAGAAAGGAGGCUUCAGUACUACAAUUUUCACCUUCCCCAAAUCAAUAUUCUUCAAAGAACAGACGUUGAUUCUGAAGAAUAUUCUGUAAUAAAUUAAACUGGUUGUUUCCUCUGGCAGUUUCCGUUUUCAUUCCCACAAUGUUAUUCAUUGUGGGAUUGUGAUUCGUCAGCAUGUGCUAACUGGGGGCCUAGAGAAAUGUUGAUGGGUAAAAGAGAAUGGAAGGUACAGUCUGUGUUUUUUCUACUCCAAAUUCUUCACAUUCUUAACCUAACAAAAUCUAUCUUUCUUGUAGGAGUUCCAUUCAUUGUGGUUCAGGCUAUAGCUGAUCACAUUGUUCAACAAGAAAAAGCUUGUUCAAGACAUGCAGAAAGAGAUAGAACCCAGAUGACAUUGUUCAAGAACCUGAAUCCAACCAUGCAUGAGGCUAACUAUACCCUCUGGAUUUCCCAGUUUUUUCCAGAGAGCUGACUCAUUUCCGUUGCAUAUAAGAUCAUCAAACCAGAUUGGUCCAGAGCCUUCUCCAAAAUUAGAUGAACCAGAGAAACUGACAGCACUUCCACAUUCAAGUUGUCUACAAAUGACAGAUGCAUGAUCUAUGUUGAAGUUAUCAUCACACACUGUUCCCCACCGUCCUUGGAAUUUGAUCUCUAUUCUUCCAGAACACAUAUUCCCUCCACGCGUCAGCCUCAUUUCCAAAUUGGAUCCAUCUGGAGCAGAGAAAAGACCAGAGUUCAGAAGUUACAUUCAUUUAGAAGUGAUUUUAGAAAAGAAGUUUCCUCUGGACACUUGGGAUUUUAUGUUGUCCUUAAAAUGGUGCCUGAUUUUGGACAUUGCCCAGCUCCACACGGUAGAGAAUUUUAAUAUGUUAAAAUCU
Molecule: long non-coding RNA, 1950 nt
Filed under: Homo sapiens (human)
Lineage: Eukaryota; Metazoa; Chordata; Mammalia; Primates; Hominidae
Description: HSALNT0185098
Source: RNAcentral